RNAcentral lists this unclassified non-coding RNA (650 nucleotides) under Hevea brasiliensis (rubber tree). Lineage: Eukaryota; Viridiplantae; Streptophyta; Magnoliopsida; Malpighiales; Euphorbiaceae. The record is from RNAcentral.
CCCCUCGCGAGAAGAAGGAUGAGGUAUGCAUGAAUUCCUAUUAUAUUUUUGUCUGCAUUUGUACAAAUGAAGUUAUACUGUGCAAUAUGCUUUACAAUCACUUCUUCAGUGGCUCCAUUUAGAUGAGCAAUUAGAUUUGACAAAUAUAAGCAAAAAUAGUCAGGAAAUGGUGGUAAUAUAUCGUGGAUGGAUUCUAUGAAAAACUGGAAAUGCUAGGUUUUCGUCUAUGAUGGAAACAUGGGUCUCCAUAGUUUUUAAGUCUUGGAAGUUUGGAUCUUAAAUGGCCUUCUUGGGAAGGGUGGAAGGCUGGGGAAUGAAAGUGGGCUGGGAAAUUAUGUUUUCCCUUGCUUGGGCUAGUGAAAUAGGAGAGAAUGGUUUUUGAAUAGUGAAUUAUUCACCUGGACCAAGAAAAUUCUCUCUAUCCAACUAGUGAUAUUUGUUAAUGUCAAUCAUAGUUGGUGUGUAACUAUAUAUUAAAAGGUCUUUUGCAGCUGAAAAAUCCUUUUUACCAUUAUUUAUGGGAUUCAUUUGGACUUAUAUAUUGCAAUUGUUGUGCUAUCACCAUCAUCUUACCCACCUUGAUAAUACUUUCAGUUAAGCAUUACUAUUUUGUAUUCUUGUUGACCAGGCAAGAACUGCAAUGAAGUGCU